CCGCGCCGCUCGCCGCGCUCAGGCCGCCGCCGGAACCCCCGCCGACGCUGCCCGCGGGCGUCCCCGAGGCCCCCGGUGCCCCAUCCCCCGCCACCCCAGCGCCGGCCCCACUCACCCUUUCAUUCUCCGCCCGCGGCCUGGCGUGGGCCGGCGAAUCCCCGGCCUCACGUAAGCGCGCUCGCCGCCCGCCCUGCCUACGCGGCCCAGCCCGCCGCCCUACGGGAGCCCGGGGAUGUGGGCCGGGCCUGGGGCCGCCUCUGCUUACCUUUCAGCUGCUUUUUUUUUUUUUUUUUUUUUUAAUUUUUUUUUCCUCCUUCCUCCCCCUCAACCCCCCCUCCCUCGCCUAGGCUGACAGAUCAGAGAGGCGCUGGCAGUGGACUUAGGGAGCUCGGCUGCUACUGCUCCCUCCCUGGGCUUCGGCAAGAGUCUUUCCCUGUCUAACACGAGGGGUGAGGAUCAUAUUUUUAUUUUGGAAACUAAAAAGUGCUCCCAGGGUCGGUGAUCAUUAAGGGGAAAUCCCUGAAUAUACUCUCCAGCCAAGAAGGCAGGGCUGCCCGCCUGCACUAGAAGAGGCAGCAGCCUCCUACAGCACCACUACAGGCACCGCGAGGACAUAACACCACAGAGCAGUUCCUCUGCCCUCCGAAACGACAACUUUCCUACCAUCUUGGAGGCAGAGGAGAGAGGGGCCAAGGGGAGAAGUGCACCGGCUCCAGCCAGAUAAAGUCCAAAUUUCUACCUCUCAUCGCUGGAAAAAAGCCCAUACUUGAGAAAAAGCAGGGAAGAAACAGAAAGGAGGUCGUGUGCUCCGUGGUGGGGAAUGUUUCUGCACCUUCUGAUGGAAAGAAAUCUUUACAAGACACAGGUUUUACGAUAUUAUUGUUUUCCAUGUUAACUUUUUCCAUAAGGGUGACAGUGGCAGCUUACUUUUUUUUUUCUAUUUUUUUUUCUUUUUUUCAGGCUAAUAAUGAUUUUUCUCUAUGGCAGGUCCAAGUUCUGUAUCUGGUGGCCAGUCUGUAAAUUGGCACUUGAGAGACUUAGAGGUCACGGUAUUGUCUUUAUUUAAUGCUCGUUUAUGUUGUAUGUAUUCGUACUUAUGGUUUCAUGUAUUAGAGGUAAGAUUUUGUGGUUUUGGUAUCUGAGGAACUGAGGCUGCUGAGAGUCAAUUGUAAAGAGAUGGCUUUUGUCUUCUCUCAGAGCAAUGUAAGUAAAACCUAUUGACUGCCCAGAAAGGCA
This 1236-nucleotide long non-coding RNA is filed under the name Mus musculus (house mouse). Its description in RNAcentral is "long non-coding RNA chr1:63114095-63115331". The record is from RNAcentral. Lineage: Eukaryota; Metazoa; Chordata; Mammalia; Rodentia; Muridae.